RNAcentral lists this long non-coding RNA (421 nucleotides) under Olea europaea (common olive). Its description in RNAcentral is "long non-coding RNA (OEUR_LNC014959)". The record is from RNAcentral. Lineage: Eukaryota; Viridiplantae; Streptophyta; Magnoliopsida; Lamiales; Oleaceae.
UAGUAAAUAGUCCCGAAAGCAGCAAUCGGAGGAGAUUCCGCUCUUUCUUUAGGGAAGUCCUAGUCUCCUUUCUUACCGGCAAUAGAGGGGGAGAAAGGCUAAGAGAUGGCGCAGUAGAAGGCCUAUGUUGAAUAUUCGUUAUAGAUAAUCGAUGUCCUUCGCUUCAUCUGCAGUAAUCGGUGUAAUAAAGCAAGGGAAGAGGAGCAUAUAAGUCAGGCUGCUUAAUUAAUGUAUAAGACUUAGAUCAAGCUAGGAGAAGCGCUUUCAGGCUCGUUCGCUUAGCAAAUCUCUAAUUAGUCUUCUCUGGUGUCGGCCACAGUCCAAGAAGUAGUCUUUUCCCAUUUUCUAGCAAGAAGAAGUAGGGAUUCGGCGCUUAUAAUAAGAUAGAUAAAUCACGCGGACUCAAGCCAGAAAAGAAAAG